UGGGGGACAACGUUUCGAAAGGAACGCUAAUACCGCAUACGUCCUACGGGAGAAAGCAGGGACCUUCGGGCCUUGCGCUAUCAGAUGAGCCUAGGUCGGAUUAGCUAGUUGGUGAGGUAAUGGCUCACCAAGGCGACGAUCCGUAACUGGUCUGAGAGGAUGAUCAGUCACACUGGAACUGAGACACGGUCAGACUCCUACGGGAGGCAGCAGGA
This 215-nucleotide ribosomal RNA is filed under the name uncultured Pseudomonas sp. RNAcentral describes it as "partial 16S ribosomal RNA". It matches the Rfam family "Bacterial small subunit ribosomal RNA", at positions 137 to 354 of the family's 1533-position model. The record is from RNAcentral. Lineage: Bacteria; Pseudomonadati; Pseudomonadota; Gammaproteobacteria; Pseudomonadales; Pseudomonadaceae.